Paramormyrops kingsleyae is the source of this 2205-nucleotide non-coding RNA. The record is from RefSeq and is a predicted model, not a curated record. Lineage: Eukaryota; Metazoa; Chordata; Actinopteri; Osteoglossiformes; Mormyridae.
GGGAGGGAGGUGGUCUUUGGAAUAGUAAGGCAAGAAGUUAAACUGAAGCCCACUGUGAACCAGCCCAUCUCCAGCAUCACAUGGAAAAGUGACCUGAACAAAGCAGCAGAGUGGGAAACAGGUCAAUCAACGCCUGAUUAUUAUACCAUAUGUAAUUCAGGAUCAAGGUGUCAACUGGAUCAUACAACUGGGGAGCUUAAAAUUAUGCAUCUAAAGCCGAAUGAAAAACUGGAUUUAUCUGCUGAGAUCAAUGGAAUGACAGCUCAGUCAUUUUUUACAGUGAUUGCACUUGAACUAGAGUCCAAACCCAGUGUCGGAACAAACUGCAGCAAAACCCAGUGUACUUUGGUCUGUGAGGGAAAGAACACCACAUAUACCAAGUACUCCUGGAAGGAGAACAAUAAAACGAUAGCAGAAAAUACCACAACGCUCCAAGUUCAGAAGAGUGACAAGCUGGAUAAAAGCUACACAUGUGUGUUCAGCAACCCUGUGAGUACAGAGGAGAGUGAACCUGUCAAGGAAUCGGUUUUAUUUCCAGAUCCGAGUGGUAAGAUCAUCGCAGGUGUUGUUUCAGCAAUUUGUGUAGCAGCUCUAUGUUGUGGAAUUGGUUUGUUCUACAAGAAAAAAGGCAUUCCUUGGAAGGCUGGAAGCCGCCAGAAAGAUCAACCCCAAGAAGAUACUGUUAUAUAUGAAAACACUGGAGACCAGUGCUGAGAUGGAGGUGGGACCUUAUUCUGAAUCACUCUGACAUAAACGUGUGAUCAAGUCACAGAUAAGGGCACAUGAGGGACUACCAAAACGAAAGCAAAUGAAAACAAAAGCAAAACGAAAGCAAACGAAAACCAAAAAGUCGUCAAAAUGUAAAUUGCAAGACGAUGUAAAUUUGUAAAUAUUGUUCAUUUAUUUUUUGUAUUUAUUAUUUGGGGAACACUUUUCUGCAUUUUGUAAUCCAUUCUUCAUGAAACUUUGCACAAUCAAAUUGAGGUCGAGUACCUUUUAACUUCCAAAGCUUACAUGAUGGUCGAUGUUAUAGUGACUCACUUUGUGGCACCAAUUAUAAAAUUCCCCACCCUGAUUUCACUGGAACUAAACCGCAGUGUUACCAUGGUGCUUAGCAGAGGUGGAUAAUUCAGGUCCAGAAAGUAAAAUUCCUGUCCAAGAUUUUGUUUCAACCAACCAGUUGAGUACUCUCUUACUGUGACACUUUAUACUCAACUGGGCCCCAUUUCAGUCACUCAUAGCUUCUUACGAAGACUCUAAAGAUAUGUCUUACGAAAGGUAUUUGUUUUCCUAUGUAUGUUUCCUGAACAUUCUCUUAAGAGAUUGCUCAAGGUAGAGCUUCUUAAGUAUGACCUUAAUAGGCACCAGAACACCUGAUUGGUUGACAUCGAUGGCUCAAGAAUUGAUUAUUCCAUCCAUGAAGCAACUGUAAGAAAGAAAGACAGAAUGUGAUGUUCUUUAUAAAUAUAACACUGCAUGAAUCCUUCAAAAUAUUGCAGUAAUCAGAACUGUGGAUAAGCUAAAAAUAAAAUACAAAAUUAAGAAACUGAAUUAUCUCACUGUAAAUAUGAUUAUCUGAUUUGGUGCAUGCAACCACCUCCCCAGAUUGUAGUAUCACCAAUUUAUUUAUUAUUUCUUAUAUAAAACACCUGCAUGCACCAAUAUAUGUGCAAGUCAUGGAUAUAGGAAUGAGCAAUGGGCCAAUUGCUGAAACAAAAGUUGCGUUACUGUCUUAACAUAAGCAAAUGACCUGUGUGCUUCAGUACUGAUACAAAAGACUAUUCCACAGUGCAUUUUUGGGGAAAAUAUAUUAGAGAAAUAUGUAAAUGAACCUACAGUGUCAACUCUUAUCAACCUCAUGCACUAUGGUUUUGAUUUACUGUGACACUGGAACAUUUAGAAAGGUGUGUGAAUUCCAGGGUUGUCGGAAAUAGGGGGAACACUUCCACCGCAAUUUUGGCAGACCCCCCUUCCUUCCUAAUUAAUAAAUAAAUACAUAAUCAACAGCACAUUCCUUAUGCUUCAUUCUGAAUCCACACUUUACUGAGGCCAAUUCGCUGCACAUUCAGAGCCCAAGGAUGAAACCUAAUGGUGAAUGUUGUCGUGUAUCAGACAAAAUUAUUUUAUCAUUUUAUCAUUAGUUAAGUGAUGUUUGGUUAUGAAACUGUACCCUUAACUAUGUCUUAUUUUAAAUGGGCAGUAUGA